Molecule: ribosomal RNA, 460 nt
Filed under: uncultured bacterium
Lineage: Bacteria
Description: partial 16S ribosomal RNA
Rfam family: Bacterial small subunit ribosomal RNA
Source: RNAcentral
CCUACGGGUGGCAGCAGUGAGGAAUCUUGGUCAAUGGGCGUAAGCCUGAACCAGCCAAGUCGCGUGAGGGAUGAAGGUUCUAUGGAUCGUAAACCCCUUUUAUAAGGGAGUAAGGUCCGGGACGUGUCUCGUUUUGUAUGUACCUUAUGAAUACGGAUCGGCUCACUCCGUUCCAGCAGCCGCGGUAAUACGGAGGAUCCGAGCGUUAUCCGGAUUUAUUGGGUUUAACGGGUGCGUAGGCGGCCUUUUAAGUCAGCGGUGAAAGUCUGUGGCUCAACCAUAGAAUUGCCGUUGAAACUGGGAGGCUUGAGUAUGUUUGAGGCAGGCGGAAUGCGUGGUGUAGCGGUGAAAUGCUUAGAUAUAACGCAGAACCCCGAUUGCGAAGGCAGCAGACCGGCGCUCAACUGACGCUCAUGCACGAAAGUGUGGGUAUCGAACAGGAUUAGAUACCCUGGUAGUC